This 468-nucleotide ribosomal RNA is filed under the name uncultured bacterium. Its description in RNAcentral is "partial 16S ribosomal RNA". It matches the Rfam family "Bacterial small subunit ribosomal RNA", at positions 28 to 507 of the family's 1533-position model. The record is from RNAcentral.
GACGAACGCUGGCGGCGUGCUUAACACAUGCAAGUCGAACGGAAAGGCCCUGCUUUUGUGGGGUGCUCGAGUGGCGAACGGGUGAGUAACACGUGAGUAACCUGCCCUUGACUUUGGGAUAACUUCAGGAAACUGGGGCUAAUACCGGAUAGGAGCUCCUGCUGCAUGGUGGGGGUUGGAAAGUUUCGGCGGUUGGGGAUGGACUCGCGGCUUAUCAGCUUGUUGGUGGGGUAGUGGCUUACCAAGGCUUUGACGGGUAGCCGGCCUGAGAGGGUGACCGGCCACAUUGGGACUGAGAUACGGCCCAGACUCCUACGGGAGGCAGCAGUGGGGAAUAUUGCACCAUGGGCGGAAGCCUGAUGCAGCAACGCCGCGUGCGGGAUGAAGGCCUUCGGGUUUUAAACCGCUUUCGCCUGUGACGAAGCGUGAGUGACGGUAAUGGGUAAAGAAGCACCGGCUAACUACGUG